RNAcentral lists this transfer RNA (72 nucleotides) under Loxodonta africana (African savanna elephant). It matches the Rfam family "tRNA". Rfam says of the family: Transfer RNA (tRNA) molecules are approximately 80 nucleotides in length. Their secondary structure includes four short double-helical elements and three loops (D, anti-codon, and T loops). Further hydrogen bonds mediate the characteristic L-shaped molecular structure. tRNAs have two regions of fundamental functional importance: the anti-codon, which is responsible for specific mRNA codon recognition, and the 3' end, to which the tRNAs corresponding amino acid is attached (by aminoacyl-tRNA synthetases). tRNAs cope with the degeneracy of the genetic code in two manners: having more than one tRNA (with a specific anti-codon) for a particular amino acid; and 'wobble' base-pairing, i.e. permitting non-standard base-pairing at the 3rd anti-codon position. Lineage: Eukaryota; Metazoa; Chordata; Mammalia; Proboscidea; Elephantidae. The record is from Rfam by way of RNAcentral.
GCCCUGGUGGCACAACAGUUAAGCACUUGGCUGCUAACUGAAAGGCCGGUGGUUCAAAUCCACCCAGUGGCU